CCUACGGGAGGCAGCAGUGAGGAAUAUUGGUCAAUGGCCGGGAGGCUGAACCAGCCAAGUCGCGUGAGGGAAGACGGCCCUACGGGUUGUAAACCUCUUUUGUCAGGGAGCAAGGUGCAGGUCGGGACCUGCUGUGAGAGUACCUGAAGAAAAAGCAUCGGCUAACUCCGUGCCAGCAGCCGCGGUAAUACGGAGGAUGCGAGCGUUAUCCGGAUUUAGUGGGUUUAAAGGGUGCGCAGGCGGAGGGACAAGUCAGCGGUAAAAUCGCGGCGCUCAACCCCGCUCCGCCGUGGAAACUGUGUCCCUUGAGUGCGCGAAGGGUAGGCGGAAUGCGUGGUGUAGCGGUGAAAUGCAUAGAUAUCACGCAGAACCCCGAUUGCGAAGGCAUCCUUCCGGCGCCCUACUGACGCUGAGGCACGAAAGUGCGGGGAUCGAACAGGAUUAGAUACCCGUGUAGUC
This 459-nucleotide ribosomal RNA is filed under the name uncultured bacterium. RNAcentral's name for it is "partial 16S ribosomal RNA". It matches the Rfam family "Bacterial small subunit ribosomal RNA", at positions 338 to 795 of the family's 1533-position model. The record is from RNAcentral.